GGUCAUGAGUGCCAGUGCAAAACCCCGGUUUGCUGGCCGGCAACCCUCCGUCCGCGGCGGGGUGCCCCGGGUGAGGACCUGGUCACACGGGAAUGCCGCUGUGGCAAGCGCGGGCU
RNAcentral lists this non-coding RNA (116 nucleotides) under Pseudoglutamicibacter albus. RNAcentral describes it as "Arthrobacter albus SAM-IV sequence". It matches the Rfam family "SAM (S-adenosyl methionine) riboswitch aptamer". Rfam says of the family: SAM-IV is a mRNA element that regulates gene expression via direct sensing of S-adenosylmethionine (SAM or AdoMet). SAM-IV riboswitches share conserved nucleotide positions with the previously described SAM-I riboswitches sequence analysis and molecular recognition experiments suggest that SAM-I and SAM-IV riboswitches share similar ligand binding sites, but have different scaffolds. Lineage: Bacteria; Bacillati; Actinomycetota; Actinomycetes; Micrococcales; Micrococcaceae. The record is from RNAcentral. RNAcentral also lists the same sequence under 1 other name.